AGGGGCUGAGGUCCAAUGUUUUAUUACAGUUUACUAAUUUUACAUGAGGUCAGAAGACCCAGAAAAGAAGAUCAUUUUAUCCCAUUAAUCAGGCUGAUAAAAAACUAGUCUGACAAGAUACUAUAGUAGUAACAGGAAACGUACCAAGGAUGUACUAUAAGCCAAGCACUGUGGUAGACGAGCAAGAAGCACCCAGCUCAGAACCUUGGAGGGAGUGCCAGCGAUAGAAGACAAGAAGUUGUCAGCAGAGGAAAGUGAACAAGUGAGGGAUAUUCUGAAGUCCCUACCAGCUGUGUACCUAAGCAUUACCCAUGCCGUGUCUCUCUCUACGGACCCUGUCUCCCUCUAUCCAUCCGCCUUCCUUUCCUCUUCCUGUCUUCCCUGUCCUUCUAUCUCCCUCCCUGUGUGCCCUCCUGUCUCUCCUCUCUCUUACUUCAUCCUCAAGAAUAUCAUUAGUCUUUAUACAACAAAAUACUUCAAUUCCAUGUUCUUAAUGUUAUAUUAUUAUUCUACUCAUGUAAAUUGUUGUUUCAUGUUAUUUGAUAUGAAAGAGAUAAGUAGGACUUUGUUCCACUUAUUGUGACGAGCACUGAGUAAUGUAUGGAAAUGUUGAAUUGCUAUAUUGCACACCUGAAAUUAAUAGAACAUUGAAUGGUAACUAUCCUGGCAUUUAAAAAAUAAAUGAAAAUAGGACUUUCCUGUUUGCAAA
Molecule: long non-coding RNA, 709 nt
Organism: Canis lupus familiaris (dog)
Lineage: Eukaryota; Metazoa; Chordata; Mammalia; Carnivora; Canidae
Exons: 2
Source: RefSeq, a predicted model, not a curated record